GCAGCAUGGUCUUAGCUUGCUAAGGCUGAUGGCGACCGGCGCACGGGUGAGUAACACGUAUCCAACCUGCCGUCUACUCUUGGCCAGCCUUCUGAAAGGAAGAUUAAUCCAGGAUGGCAUCAUGAGUUCACAUGUCCGCAUGAUUAAAGGUAUUUUCCGGUAGACGAUGGGGAUGCGUUCCAUUAGAUAGUAGGCGGGGUAACGGCCCACCUAGUCAACGAUGGAUAGGGGUUCUGAGAGGAAGGUCCCCCACAUUGGAACUGAGACACGGUCCAAACUCCUACGGGAGGCAGCAGUGAGGAAUAUUGGUCAAUGGGCGAUGGCCUGAACCAGCCAAGUAGCGUGAAGGAUGACUGCCCUAUGGGUUGUAAACUUCUUUUAUAAAGGAAUAAAGUCGGGUAUGCAUACCCGUUUGCAUGUACUUUAUGAAUAAGGAUCGGCUAACUCCGUGCCAGCAGCCGCGGUAAUACGGAGGAUCCGAGCGUUAUCCGGAUUUAUUGGGUUUAAAGGGAGCGUAGAUGGAUGUUUAAGUCAGUUGUGAAAGUUUGCGGCUCAACCGUAAAAUUGCAGUUGAUACUGGAUGUCUUGAGUGCAGUUGAGGCAGGCGGAAUUCGUGGUGUAGCGGUGAAAUGCUUAGAUAUCACGAAGAACUCCGAUUGCGAAGGCAG
Molecule: ribosomal RNA, 668 nt
Filed under: uncultured Bacteroidales bacterium
Lineage: Bacteria; Pseudomonadati; Bacteroidota; Bacteroidia; Bacteroidales
Description: bacterial SSU rRNA
Rfam family: Bacterial small subunit ribosomal RNA
Source: RNAcentral